GGCGGGGGAAUAGCCAAAAGAAAGCAACCACUUCGUCGCACUCGCGCAAAGGAGCACUAACUGACCUGUGGCGCAUUGCUUUGCCUUGAACCCGAGACUGUUCUGCUCUGGGUUAUCAAACGGCCGAGUAGUGAGUGUUUGUUAUUAAUCCCGUCGUAGAAGUCAAUUUAGAGGAACUGCGAGACUGGGCUUCAACGUAAAAGCUGGACCUUUUGGUGCGACAAGGUCAUUUCAGGAAGCCGGGAAAGCAAGCAUUCUGGGGGAUACUAAUCUUUUUGUCCCAACCAUCGGCAUAUGUGUGUGUCUGUAGUAUGGUAGCAAUGAGGACCAAGAUCGUUUCCGUGAGCGUGGCUUCGUCCCUUCUUGAAGAUGCUAGGAAGAAUCCAUCGUUCUAUUGGGUCCACCCGUGAGCUCCAGGGGAGAACUCUUCUUCUGUAUGUGCAAGUAAUCUGCUUAAAAAAUCCUUUCGAGCGAAGAAAGAAUAGAUGAAAGGGAGACCGAAAGGGAAGACACAAGGAAGGGUUGAAAGGAGGGGGGCGAGGAAGAAUGAAUUAGGGGAAGGGACGAUUUGUAUGGACGCACAGAAGGAUAAGGGAAAAAACAAAAAGGUGCAGGAUGGGGAAUCGGCGUUUCGCGCACGUUUCAAGUAAACUAUGUGAAACUUUUCCCUCCGUUCCCCUUCGAUAGCUCAGCUGGUAGAGCGGAGGACUGUAGAGGUCAAAUCUGUGGUCAUCCUUAGGUCGCUGGUUCGAUUCCGGCUCGAAGGAGGAGUGGUGCAAUUUUGAGUUUCAACCCUGCACUAAAUACACGUGUCAGAAGACCGCAAGAAGGCGACCUUUUUACAAGAACUGUUCACUCCUCUGCCCCACUUUCCAUUCUUCUUAUUGUUUCCAGAUAGACAAAGCAGCAAGCAAGUCUUGGAGUAGUGUUGAUUUACUUGUCAAGGUAAUGCUCAUUUUAAAGCAAUACUCCUGUUCUACCACCACUCCAUUUGCUGCUUUGAUUACGGCAGUAAAUCCACCUUUUUUUUUUUUUGAGGGAAUGUCCCAAGUAUUUGUCAUUUAUUCUGAUGUACACUAUUUUAACGAACAACUUGAUGAAUUCGUAUGCUUGCAAAUAGCUGCAUACAGAAGCUGCAGAUCACAACACAAAGAUGGCAACGAUUUCUGUUUCUUGAAAGAAUCUGUUGAAUGAAAUAGCACUUGAGUUCAAAAAAGCAAUCACAAACAUACAGAGAACAUGUGGCCAUUCUGAAUUUCAUCUGGAAGUACAAAAUGAAUAGAUCCCAAGUUCAAUCUGAGUAAUUGGAGAAAUUGUUAUUGAUUCCUCUACAUUGUAGCUUAAGCUUCUGGCACUUGGAGAAAGAGGAAGAUUUGCUUGGUUUGGUUAAAAACAAAACAAAACCGCCCUGUGCUAACUUUUUCUAUGAAGGGAAACAAUUUUAAUGAGAAUGAUCAUGCAAAUACUGGAAUGCUCAAGCUUGUGAAAAGGUCCCUAACUAUUUAAAGAUUCAAGAAAAUGUCCACAUCUUAAUCAUUCAUCUAGACUUCACCUGAAAACUGUUUGGUUUCUCCUUGAUGGAAAAAGUGUAUUUAGUUAAUAAAAAUUACUUUUUUUUCUCUAA
Monodelphis domestica (gray short-tailed opossum) is the source of this 1624-nucleotide non-coding RNA. The record is from RefSeq and is a predicted model, not a curated record. NCBI's taxonomy places the organism in Eukaryota, Metazoa, Chordata, Mammalia, Didelphimorphia, Didelphidae.